GGAGAAAAGCAGGGGAUCGUAAGACCUCGCGUUAAUGGAGUGGCCGAUAUCUGAUUAGCUAGUUGGUGAGGUAAAGGCUCACCAAGGCGACGAUCAGUAGCUGGUCUGAGAGGACGACCAGCCACACUGGAACUGAGACACGGUCCAGACUCCUACGGGAGGCAGCAGUGGGGAAUUUUGGACAAUGGGCGCAAGCCUGAUCCAGCCAUUCCGCGUGAGUGAAGAAGGCCUUCGGGUUGUAAAGCUCUUUCGCAAGGGAAGAAAACUUACUCAAUAACACUGGGUGAGGCUGACGGUACCUUGAUAAGAGGCACCGGCUAACUACGUGCCAGCAGCCGCGGUAAUACGUAGGGUGCGAGCGUUAAUCGGAAUUACUGGGCGUAAAGCGUGCGCAGGCGGUUUUGUAAGUCAGAUGUGAAAGCCCCGGGCUCAACCUGGGAACUGCGUUUGAAACUACAAGGCUAG
This 465-nucleotide ribosomal RNA is filed under the name uncultured bacterium. RNAcentral describes it as "bacterial SSU rRNA". It matches the Rfam family "Bacterial small subunit ribosomal RNA", at positions 198 to 644 of the family's 1533-position model. The record is from RNAcentral.